AUUGAACGCUGGCGGCAGGCCUAACACAUGCAAGUCGAGCGGAUGAAGGGAGCUUGCUCCUGGAUUCAGCGGCGGACGGGUGAGUAAUGCCUAGGAAUCUGCCUGGUAGUGGGGGAUAACGUCCGGAAACGGGCGCUAACACCGCAUACGUCCUGAGGGAGAAAGUGGGGGAUCUUCGGACCUCACGCUAUCAGAUGAGCCUAGGUCGGAUUAGCUAGUUGGUGGGGUAAAGGCCUACCAAGGUGACGAUCCGUAACUGGUCUGAGAGGAUGAUCAGUCACACUGGAACUGAGACACGGUCCAGACUCCUACGGGAGGCAGCAGUGGGGAAUAUUGGACAAUGGGCGAAAGCCUGAUCCAGCCAUGCCGCGUGUGUGAAGAAGGUCUUCGGAUUGUAAAGCACUUUAAGUUGGGAGGAAGGGCAGUAAGUUAAUACCUUGCUGUUUUGACGUUACCAACAGAAUAAGCACCGGCUAACUUCGUG
Molecule: ribosomal RNA, 484 nt
Filed under: uncultured bacterium
Lineage: Bacteria
Description: partial 16S ribosomal RNA
Rfam family: Bacterial small subunit ribosomal RNA
Source: RNAcentral